Molecule: long non-coding RNA, 1127 nt
Organism: Ochotona curzoniae (black-lipped pika)
Lineage: Eukaryota; Metazoa; Chordata; Mammalia; Lagomorpha; Ochotonidae
Exons: 2
Source: RefSeq, a predicted model, not a curated record
UCCUGGCCCCUGGUGCUCACCCUGAUCAGAGGGUCCCUCAUGGCAGCCGGCUUCCUUCUCACCUAUGGCCUCACGUGGCUCUACUACACCAGGUGCGGAGGCCCCCAGCUUCACGCCUCGACACCGAGAUGAGCACGGGGCACCCAGAGCCACAGCCGCGGCCAUGUCACGCUAGCCUCUCCCUGGAGGCAGCUCUCUGCGACUCUUUCCUGCCUGCCUCCUUCCCUGUCCUUAAUCCACCAAGCCCGGCACGUCCUGCCCCAUCCCAGCUUCACCUGCUGCCCUUCUCAUCCCUCCCCACCACCUGCUCCAACAUGUGACUGGGCUGCAUGCUUCAGGUCCCCCACACCUGAGAGCUUGCCUUGUUGACCAUGGAAGGACAGGGGAGGCCAGAAAUGACCCAUCCCCGAGACCCGGAUGCACUGCGCAUUGCAAGCCUGGCUGCUCCCUCCACCUGGAGCUGCGACUGUGAAACACGACCAAGGGCAUCUCCACAUGGAAGACACAGGACCGCCCGGGAACAGAUGUUACUCUUGAAGGCCCCUGCGGAUCCUUGUAGACCUCAAGGACAUCUGGGCAUGUUUGCACGCAGGCUGUGGUGUCCGCAUGACCCCGUGGAUGUUCAGUAGAGAAUGUGUCCAUGGUGACCCGGCUUGGGGAGGGUGGCAGGCUGACAGAGCCACAGUGAUGGAUUCUCCCACACCCUGGGCCCUUGAUGGACGCACAGCCUGGUCCUCACAGCUGGUGCCUGGACCCCUCCCUAGCUGUGUCCACGUCCUUCCUGCCUCCAUGGCUCACACAGGAUACCCAUCACUGCCGGGCUCUCCUCUCUAGUUUCAGCUUUGCCCAGCAUUCCCUGACCAGGCCGAUAUCUCCCAAGUCCUUAGCCAUAGAUUUUCUCUUUUCCUGUGUGACCCUGUUGGCCUCGUUCGUGCAUUUUGUUCACAUUCUGACUCCUGCGUGCCUGACAAUGGCAGAGGACCCAGAGCUGCGAAGGCAUCACAGUGGGACAGAGUGAGGACUUGGUUUGCAUGGACUUCCGAGGACUUUAGCGAGGAGGGUAUGCUGAGGUUCCCUGCCUGUGAUGGAGCAGGCUCAGCUGCACCUGCGUUACCACCUCCUAGAAA